Molecule: non-coding RNA, 221 nt
Organism: Ictidomys tridecemlineatus (thirteen-lined ground squirrel)
Lineage: Eukaryota; Metazoa; Chordata; Mammalia; Rodentia; Sciuridae
Source: RefSeq, a predicted model, not a curated record
GGCAUUCAAGGGGUCACUUGUUCAUUCCUCUGCCUUUGUUAGGGUUGCCUAAAAAUUACCCAAGAGUUGUAGGAGCUGACAACCAGAUUUUUAUUCUAUGUGAAAGUUGAUUUGGAGAACUCCCUUUUACAUCUUACACCUCCAAGGCACAGGGACUUCACUGCACAUGAUUUGAUAGUUUGAGAAUUUCAUAUUGUUACUUACUCCAACAACCACACAAC